RNAcentral lists this unclassified non-coding RNA (373 nucleotides) under uncultured Sphingobacteriales bacterium. RNAcentral describes it as "contains 16S-23S intergenic spacer region". The record is from RNAcentral. Lineage: Bacteria; Pseudomonadati; Bacteroidota; Sphingobacteriia; Sphingobacteriales.
UCCGAGUUGUCCCCGGCAGUCUCUUAUGAGUCCCCGGCAUAACCCGCUGGUAACAUAAGACAAGGGUUGCGCUCGUUGCGGGACUUAACCCAACACCUCACGGCACGAGCUGACGACAGCCAUGCAGCACCUAGUUUCGCGCCCUUGCGGGAAGACACCUUUCGGCAUCCGUCGCUAACUUUCAAGCCCUGGUAAGGUUCCUCGCGUAUCAUCGAAUUAAACCACAUGCUCCUCCGCUUGUGCGGGCCCCCGUCAAUUCCUUUGAGUUUCAACCUUGCGGUCGUACUCCCCAGGUGGAUAACUUAACGCUUUCGCUUAGCCGCUGACAGUAUAUCGCCAACAGCGAGUUAUCAACGUUUACAGCGUGGACUAC